This 732-nucleotide long non-coding RNA is filed under the name Mytilus galloprovincialis (Mediterranean mussel). The record is from RNAcentral. Lineage: Eukaryota; Metazoa; Mollusca; Bivalvia; Mytilida; Mytilidae.
AAAACUAGAGGCUCUCAAGAGCCUGUGUCGCUCACCUGUUACUGUAUUUACUGAUGUCGGCCAUCUUGGUUGGCAGGCAGGGUCAUUAGACACUUUUUUAAAAUAGAUACCCUAGAAAUGAUUGUGGCCAAGUUUGGUUAAAUUUGGCCCAUAGUUUUAGAAAAGAAGAUUUUUGUACAAGUUACAAAAAUGACGAAAAGUUGUUCAAUAUUGACUAUAAAGGACAAUAACUCCUUAAGGAGUUCUCUGACAAUUUUGGUCAUGUUGACUUAUUUGUAGAUCUUACUUUGCUGAACAUUAUUGCUGUUUACAGUUUAUCUCUAUCUAUAAUAGUAUUCAAGAUACAUGUAAUAACCAAAAACUGCAAAAUUUCCUUACAAUUGCCAUUUCAGGGGCAGCAACCCAACAACCAUUGUCCGAUCCAUCUGAAAAUUUAAUGGGCAGAUAGAUCUUGACCUGAUAAACAAUUAAAUUCCGUUAGAUUUGCUCUAAAUGCUUUGGUUUUUGAGUAAUAAGCCAAAAACUGCAUUUUACCCCUAUGUUCUAUUUUUAGCCGUGGUGGCCAUCUUGGUUGGAUGGCCGGGUCACUGGACACAUUUUUUUAACUAGAUACCCCAAAGAUGAUUUUUGCCAAGUUUGUUUAAAUUUGGCCCAGUAGUUUCAGAGGAGAAGAUUUUUGUAAAAGAUUGCUAAGAUUUACGAAAAAUGGUUAAAAAUUGACUAUAAAGGGCA